Molecule: ribosomal RNA, 449 nt
Filed under: uncultured bacterium
Lineage: Bacteria
Description: partial 16S ribosomal RNA
Rfam family: Bacterial small subunit ribosomal RNA
Source: RNAcentral
AACGAACGCUGGCGGCAGGCUUAACACAUGCAAGUCGAACGAUGUAGCAAUACAUAGUGGCGCACGGGUGAGUAACGCGUGGGAACGUGCCCUUCAGUCUGGGAUAACAGCGGGAAACUGCUGCUAAUACUGGAUAUUCCCUCCGGGGGAAAGAUUUAUCGCUGAAGGAUCGGCCCGCGUAAGAUUAGGUAGUUGGUGGGGUAAUGGCCUACCAAGCCUACGAUCUUUAGCUGGUCUGAGAGGAUGAUCAGCCACACUGGAACUGAGACACGGUCCAGACUCCUACGGGAGGCAGCAGUGGGGAAUAUUGGACAAUGGGCGAAAGCCUGAUCCAGCCAUGCCGCGUGAGUGAUGAAGGCCUUAGGGUUGUAAAGCUCUUUUGUCAGGGAAGAUAAUGACGGUACCUGAAGAAUAAGCACCGGCUAACUUCGUGCCAGCCGCCGCGGUAA